This 288-nucleotide small RNA is filed under the name Roseovarius litorisediminis. Its description in RNAcentral is "Pelagicola litorisediminis 5' ureB small RNA". It matches the Rfam family "5' ureB small RNA". The record is from Rfam by way of RNAcentral. Lineage: Bacteria; Pseudomonadati; Pseudomonadota; Alphaproteobacteria; Rhodobacterales; Roseobacteraceae.
AUCCUCGAUCUGUUGCGGGCAGAUAAAGUGGAUGUGGCUGUCAAAACCCCCGGCUGUCAGGAUCUUUCCCUCGCCGGCAAUGGCUUCGGUUCCGGGACCAAUGAUAAUGUUCACACCGGGUUGCGUAUCGGGGUUCCCGGCCUUUCCGAUCUUGGCAAUACGCCCGUCCCUGAGGCCGACAUCGGCCUUGUAGAUCCCCGAAUGAUCGACGAUCAGCGCAUUGGUGAUGACAGUAUCCACCGCCCCCUCGGCGCGGGUGACCUGAGACUGACCCAUGCCAUCACGGAU